CUUCAUUGAUGGCUGGUUGCUUCUGAGCCUCUUUAGCAGCUUGAGCGUCCAACAGCUGUUGCAGCUGCUCCUGUAGAGCACGAAUUUGUUCAUCAGUAGCCAUCGUAUGCAGUGCCUGAAAAAAAACGAGAAUUAGAAAAAUAAAAAUAAAAAGAAACAGUAAACGCCUGAAGUACUACUAAGUCCUAUCGGAAAUAUUAAAGAAACUUCUAAUCAGUCCCCGGCAACGGCGCCAAAAAGUUGAUCACUAAUUUCUUAGCAACAAAAUACCGCAACUAACACGGUGCAAUUGUAGCAAAAAAUUGGUAACCGAGUAUCGUAUCCACA
RNAcentral lists this long non-coding RNA (327 nucleotides) under Salvia miltiorrhiza (redroot sage). RNAcentral's name for it is "long non-coding RNA (SMIL_LNC000325)". The record is from RNAcentral. Lineage: Eukaryota; Viridiplantae; Streptophyta; Magnoliopsida; Lamiales; Lamiaceae.